GGGGAUGUGGCUCAGUGGUGAAAGUUCUUUCCUUGCAGGCUGAAGGCCCUGGGUUCGAUCCCCAGCACCACCA
This 73-nucleotide transfer RNA is filed under the name Cavia porcellus (domestic guinea pig). It matches the Rfam family "tRNA". Rfam says of the family: Transfer RNA (tRNA) molecules are approximately 80 nucleotides in length. Their secondary structure includes four short double-helical elements and three loops (D, anti-codon, and T loops). Further hydrogen bonds mediate the characteristic L-shaped molecular structure. tRNAs have two regions of fundamental functional importance: the anti-codon, which is responsible for specific mRNA codon recognition, and the 3' end, to which the tRNAs corresponding amino acid is attached (by aminoacyl-tRNA synthetases). tRNAs cope with the degeneracy of the genetic code in two manners: having more than one tRNA (with a specific anti-codon) for a particular amino acid; and 'wobble' base-pairing, i.e. permitting non-standard base-pairing at the 3rd anti-codon position. The record is from Rfam by way of RNAcentral. Lineage: Eukaryota; Metazoa; Chordata; Mammalia; Rodentia; Caviidae.